RNAcentral lists this ribosomal RNA (492 nucleotides) under uncultured bacterium. RNAcentral describes it as "partial 16S ribosomal RNA". It matches the Rfam family "Bacterial small subunit ribosomal RNA", at positions 30 to 507 of the family's 1533-position model. The record is from RNAcentral.
AUUGAACGCUGGCGGUAGGCCUAACACAUGCAAGUCGAACGGCAGCACAGUAAGAGCUUGCUCUUACGGGUGGCGAGUGGCGGACGGGUGAGGAAUACAUCGGAAUCUACUUUUUCGUGGGGGAGAACGUAGGGAAACUUACGCUAAUACCGCAUACGACCUACGGGUGAAAGCAUGGGAUCUUCGGACCUUGCGCGAUUGAAUGAGCCGAUGUCGGAUUAGCUAGUUGGCGGGGUAAAGGCCCACCAAGGCAACGAUCCGUAGCUGGUCUGAGAGGAUGAUCAGCCACACUGGAACUGAGACACGGUCCAGACUCCUACGGGAGGCAGCAGUGGGGAAUAUUGGACAAUGGGCGCAAGCCUGAUCCAGCCAUACCGCGUGGGUGAAGAAGGCCUUCGGGUUGUAAAGCCCUUUUGUUGGGAAAGAAAAGCAGCAGGUUAAUACCCCGCUGUUCUGACGGUACCCAAAGAAUAAGCACCGGCUAACUUCGUG